GGGCUUGACAUCCCACGAACCUGCCCGAAAAGGUGGGGUGCCCGCAAGGGAGCGUGGAGACAGGUGGUGCAUGGCUGUCGUCAGCUCGUGUCGUGAGAUGUUGGGUUAAGUCCCGCAACGAGCGCAACCCUCACCCCUAGUUGCCACCGGGUCAUGCCGAGCACUCGAGGGGAACUGCCAGCGUCAAGCUGGAGGAAGGCGGGGAUGACGUCAAGUCAUCAUGCCCCUUACGCCCUGGGCUACACACGUGCUACAAUGGCCAGUACAAAGGGACGCGAGACUGCGAAGUGGAGCUAAUCCCAAAAAGCUGGUCUAAGUUCAGAUUGCAGUCUGCAACUCGACUGCAUGAAGGAGGAAUCGCUAGUAAUCGCGCAUCAGCCCGGCGCGGUGAAUACGUUCCCGGGCCUUGUACACACCGCCCGUCACACCACGAAAGCUGUCUGUACUCGAAGUCGCUGAGA
RNAcentral lists this ribosomal RNA (461 nucleotides) under uncultured Methylomirabilota bacterium. RNAcentral's name for it is "bacterial SSU rRNA". It matches the Rfam family "Bacterial small subunit ribosomal RNA", at positions 977 to 1435 of the family's 1533-position model. Lineage: Bacteria; Methylomirabilota (SeqCode). The record is from RNAcentral.